GCCGGGGUGGCCGAGGAUUUAGGCGACGGCCUGCAGAGCUGUUUACGUUGGUGAAAAUCCAACCCCCGGCUCCA
Molecule: transfer RNA, 74 nt
Filed under: Candidatus Bathyarchaeota archaeon
Lineage: Archaea; Thermoproteati; Candidatus Bathyarchaeota
Description: tRNA-Cys
Rfam family: tRNA
About the family: Transfer RNA (tRNA) molecules are approximately 80 nucleotides in length. Their secondary structure includes four short double-helical elements and three loops (D, anti-codon, and T loops). Further hydrogen bonds mediate the characteristic L-shaped molecular structure. tRNAs have two regions of fundamental functional importance: the anti-codon, which is responsible for specific mRNA codon recognition, and the 3' end, to which the tRNAs corresponding amino acid is attached (by aminoacyl-tRNA synthetases). tRNAs cope with the degeneracy of the genetic code in two manners: having more than one tRNA (with a specific anti-codon) for a particular amino acid; and 'wobble' base-pairing, i.e. permitting non-standard base-pairing at the 3rd anti-codon position.
Source: RNAcentral